GCCUCAUUAGCUCAGUCCGGUUUAGAGCGGCAGUUUUGUAAACUGUAGGUCGGGGGUUCAAAUCCCUCAUGAGGCU
This 76-nucleotide transfer RNA is filed under the name Candidatus Pacearchaeota archaeon. RNAcentral describes it as "tRNA-Thr". It matches the Rfam family "tRNA". From Rfam's summary of the family: Transfer RNA (tRNA) molecules are approximately 80 nucleotides in length. The record is from RNAcentral. Lineage: Archaea; Nanobdellati.